GAUGAACGCUGGCGGCGUGCCUAAUACAUGCAAGUCGGACGCAUUGAGAGAAAUGCUUGCACUUUUCAAUUUGAGUGGCGAACGGGUGAGUAACACGUGGGCAACCUACCUGAUAGCGGGGGAUAACGAGUGGAAACAUUCGCUAAUACCGCAUAACAAUAGAGAAGGCAUCUUCUUUAUUUAAAAGGCGCUUUCAAGCGUCACUAUCAGAUGGGCCCGCGGUGAAUUAGUUAGUUGGUGGGGUGAAGGCAUACCAAGACGAUGAUGCAUAGCCGAGUUGAGAGACUGAUCGGCCACAUUGGGACUGAGACACGGCCCAAACUCCUACGGGAGGCUGCAGUAGGGAAUCUUCCACAAUGGACGAAAGUCUGAUGGAGCAACGCCGCGUGUGUGAUGAAGGCUUUCGGGUCGUAAAGCACUGUUGUAUGGGAAGAAAUGCUAGGCUAGGAAAUGAGCUUAGUUUGACGGUACCAUACCAGAAAGGGACGGCUAAAUACGUGCCAGCCGCCGCGGUAA
This 516-nucleotide ribosomal RNA is filed under the name uncultured bacterium. Its description in RNAcentral is "partial 16S ribosomal RNA". It matches the Rfam family "Bacterial small subunit ribosomal RNA", at positions 28 to 523 of the family's 1533-position model. The record is from RNAcentral.